RNAcentral lists this ribosomal RNA (207 nucleotides) under uncultured bacterium. RNAcentral describes it as "partial 16S ribosomal RNA". It matches the Rfam family "Bacterial small subunit ribosomal RNA", at positions 568 to 774 of the family's 1533-position model. The record is from RNAcentral.
CACGCAGGCGGUCUGGCGCGUGGGGUGUGAAAUCUGGCCGCUUAACGGCCAGGCGCCAUCCCAUACGGCCGGACUGGAGCCGUGCAGAGGGCGGUGGAAUUGCCGGUGUAGUGGUGAAAUGCGUAGAGAUCGGCAGGAACACCCAGGGGGAAACCAGCCGCCUGGGCACGCGCUGACGCUGAGGUGCGAGAGCGUGGGGAGCGAACC